GACGAACGCUGGCGGCGUGCUUAACACAUGCAAGUCGAACGGAAAGGCCUGCUUUCCCUUGUGGAUUGCGGGUACUCGAGUGGCGAACGGGUGAGUAACACGUGAGUGAUCUGCCCCCAACUUGGGUAUAAGCCUGGGAAACUGGGUCUAAUUCCCGAUAGGACUGCAGGGUGGUGCCUGUGGUGGAAAACGAUUUUCUAGUGGUUGGGGAUGAGCUCGUGGCCUAUCAGCUUGUUGGUGGGGUAAUGGCCUACCAAGGCGGCGACGGGUAGCCGGCCCGGGAGGGUGGACGGGAGAAGUGGGACGGAGAUACGGCCCAGAAUACUACGGGCAGCAGCCGACGGGAAUCAUGCGCGAUGAGCGGAAGCCAGUUGCAGGGAGGCCGAGUCGGCGAUGCCGGGCGUGGGAUUGUGAACUCCGUUCGGCCGCGAGGAAGCGACCUGGAUGGAAGGGUGGUGACGGUAGUGGUAGAAGAAGCACCGGCUAACUACGUG
RNAcentral lists this ribosomal RNA (494 nucleotides) under uncultured bacterium. RNAcentral describes it as "partial 16S ribosomal RNA". It matches the Rfam family "Bacterial small subunit ribosomal RNA", at positions 28 to 507 of the family's 1533-position model. The record is from RNAcentral.